Long non-coding RNA from Monodelphis domestica (gray short-tailed opossum), 1009 nucleotides. RefSeq lists it as uncharacterized. The record is from RefSeq and is a predicted model, not a curated record. NCBI's taxonomy places the organism in Eukaryota, Metazoa, Chordata, Mammalia, Didelphimorphia, Didelphidae.
CUCUGCCUGUAAGAUGUAAAAGAUCCAGCAUCCUUUUAAUCUAAUUUGAGAAAUCAGAGUGGAAUGCCUUUAUAAGAUUCUCAAUUAUCUUCCCUAUGAUAAUGAUUCACAUCUAUUUUCCUAGUUCAAGUCUCUCUUCAAGAUCAAAAGCCGUAUUACUGUCUACUGCCCAUUUUAUUUUGAACUGGAUAUCGCAUAGGCAUCGCAAACAACCUACCCAAAGCAUAACUCAUUGUCUCUCCACUCCGACUCUGGUAAACUUGCCAAUGACUAGCAUGGGAAAACCACCAUUUUUACAGUUAUCUCUUGUGUGCGCUGCCUUAUCCCACUCACACCACCCAGGUGACGGGUGUUAGGACUCUGGCCAAAGCCGCCUCGCUGGUCUCCGGGCUGCAUCUCACGUGACUCCAUUCUUCCGCCGCCACCAACGUGAUUUUCCUAAAGCACUGACUCCCCGUGGCACUUCCCUACCCAGCAAACACCGGCGGCUCCUCGUCACUUAAACAACCGAGGUUGCUGGCAGCAACCCAGAGUGCGCGGAACCAGAUUUAAAGCAAAUCAAACGACAGAACCCAGACCGGUUAAUGGAUGGUUCUAAGUCAAAAUGUGGCCUGCAAGAAUCCUUUGGGAUGACAUGAGAGACUUUGUCAAAUGUUUUGCUGAAAGAAAAUAGGAAGACUUCAAGACAUUUGGGGAAGAAGGCUUAUCAUAGUAAGAAAUUCUUCACCUGACAUGGUCCUGAAAAAUCAGUAUGGAUUCUUGAUCAAGGCUUUUUGGUUACUAUCUAUGAGAGAAUUUUGCCAAGAGUCCAAGAGAAGCUCAUCAGUAUAUAGCUGGAAUAUUCUGACCUUCUCCCUCUGAAAAUCAAGACAUCACAAUCUUCAGUCUAAUAGGACCCCUUGCAUAUACGAUGGUUUUUCAAAAGGCAAAGCCAGUUCAGCAGUCAUAGUCUACAAAUUAUUUCUAUCACUUAUAAUAAAGCCUUUCAGGACCUACUGAUUUCCAUUUA